Molecule: small RNA, 2531 nt
Filed under: Histoplasma capsulatum var. duboisii H88
Lineage: Eukaryota; Fungi; Ascomycota; Eurotiomycetes; Onygenales; Ajellomycetaceae
Description: Histoplasma capsulatum H88 hypothetical RNA
Source: RNAcentral
GUAGUGUAUAUAAAUCUAUAACCGUAUCCCUCUGGUGUCGGUGAGCCUAAAUCGAGCAGCGCCAUUCCAUAUCCCUUUCAUAUUAGGGCAUUGUAUCGAUUCAACAGAUCCUUUAUUUCCCCUUGCCAGUGGCCAGCCUCCAUGGCUAUCACGCGAGCGGUCUUGCCAUCUCCUGUCUUCAUACCUCGUGUAAAAGUCGGAUGUUUCAAUACCGCUUUUAAUAGGAUUGGGUCACCUAGCUUCGCCGCAUAAUGCACUGUAGCCCACCCAUCCUGACCGACAAUGUCGCCGACAUCAUCAAGUUCCAGGAGGAUAGCGGCACAGUCAAUACUUUCAUGGCGUAGUGCCUCAAUCAGCGCCGUAUUUCCGUCGUUGUUCUUCCGCGUUAGGAUCAAUUUUCCAUCGCCUGGCAGCUGCAACAGGGUUUCCAGUGAAUCACUCUCCCCUUGCAUGCAAGCAUGGUGAAUUAUGCUAUUCCCGGAAUUAUCCAACAAAUCUAGCUUCGCUCCAUGUCGAGUCAGACACUUCAUGCACUCCAAAUCAUCCACGAAAUCAAAUAUGGGCGGCCUUCCGUCCUCAUCUUGCGCGUCAAUGUCCAAUUUGGCCGUAUUGCUUGCGUCGCAUAAUAACGCCACUGUCUCACACUUCUUCUCCCCACGAUCUGAAAGACCUGCAUAAUGCAGCGCAACUUGCUGAUUCUCCUGUUUCACAUUCGGAUCUGCGCCCGCCUCAAGGAGGAGUUUUACGCAGCCCACCAAACACCCCUGCGCAGCCAUAAUAAGUGGUGACUCCCCCCACACGUUACUCUGAUCGAUAUUCAACAGAUCCGGAUACCGUUUAUGUAUCUCCAGCGCAUAGCUCAAGCUCUCCAGCGCAUUCGACUCCACUGCUGCAUGUAAAAUGUUCGCAUUUAAAUUCGACUUUAUAAACAGAUCCGCACCCGUAUUCACAAGAAUCUUCAUUUUAUCCGCUUGUCCCGUGGCACUAGCCCAAUGCAGCGGCGUCCAGUGGAACUUGCGAUCUUUCUGAUCGACUAGGUUCUGUAUGAUUUUGCCUGUAUCUGGGUUUUCCGCUGCCGAAACCCGGAACUGCUCGAUGAUUGUGACGAACAGAGGGGAUCGUUUUUGAUAUUUCACUUUCCAGUGAGACCAAUUGGUGCCAUGUGGGGCGUUGUUGGCAUGAUCGACGAAGUCAAGGAGUUCCUCGAGGGUGGGGCGUUCCAAGUCUUCGGGGUCGUAGAGAUCCAGGACAGCAAUGUGAAUCGGGGUGAAUUCAUAGUCGUCGAUAUAAUCGUCUUGUUUGGAGAAGACUUGGACGAUGUCCUUUUCGGUUUGGGUAGCAUCUGCUCCGCGAGAUUUCAGAAAUGCGAAGUCAACUGGCUUUCUAAAACAAGAAAGUAUUGACCAGUUAGCUGAUGAGAGGCAAUAUUGGAACUCCGAAAAGGUCGGGUUGAAGAUUGUUUGCAGACCUUGCUCCAAGAUCAGAUACUUCAGUCUCCGCACCUAGUUCAACAAGGUACUGCACGGUUGGCAAUUGUCUCGCGUACGCGGCAGUCUAAAAUAAUCGCCAUGGGAGCCCAGUUGUCAGAAAUGAAACCAAUCAUCAAUAAAAGUAACAACGUUGAGUUUACACGAAAAAAAACUUACGUGCAACAAAGACCAUCCAUCCGGCGCCGUAUCCCAAGGGGUUGCCUCCCCCGACUCAAUCGCUAAUUUCAACUUCUCCAAGUUCCCAUGCUUGACAUACCGCAUGGCGUUGGAUCCCUCCGGCACCAUACGGUAGGUAUUUAGCCGAUAUCGAACCUGGAUACUACUCGCCGACAUCAUAUUCGAGAUGGCCUUUUUGAAGAAAGAGACUGGGAUGGGCUUUUCCUGAGAAAUUGUUGCUGCACAACCUGGAUCUGAACACUCAACUUUGGGCUUGUUGUUUUCUCGAAAUACCCUCGCGUUGAACCGUGAUGACGGUGUCUGGGAUUCACCAGUAGUGGGUUCAUCAUGGCAUUUACAGUAACAAUCAUGUCGGCAUGCGCGACGGAUGAUCAGUGAACUCGUUGAACGCGAGUCCACUAAUGUGCUCGAUUGGGGCGAUACGUGACUCCCUCGUCGGUCGCUGUGGCCUUGCACUGACAGAGUGUUUCCAAACGAGGUAGAGGUGGUGGUGGAAGAAUUUUUGGACGAUAUCGAGCUUCGAGAUGACGGUUGUGAUGAUCCGAGAGACAUUGAUAUUAUGGAGGAUGAAUUCGAAGACGGAUAUCUUGAAAUGAGAGGUGAUCUUGAUUCCGACAUAUCGCUGGGGAAUUGAGGCUCGCUUGCCAUCUCCUCAACACCAGUCGAGCAUGUUUCUAAGAGUUGUGGGUGCUGAUUACACAUAGCGAGGAACGUCUCCCUGUAGAGGUUUUAGCAUUUAGAUAAACUAUAGGGAAGUGGGUAGGUUCUACGGACAAAUGCGCCAGUGAUACAAAACUAUGUAAUUGUGCACACUGGCUUUUGAUCUGUUUAGCAAGCGUUUCAAAAUGUGACUUAUUCUGGACG